CUCGUUCUAUGUUGCCAGCACGUGAAAAUGGGCCCUCAUAAAAAAACUGCGGGGGUCAACUCGAGGAAGAUGGGGAUGACGUCAAAUCAUCAUGGCCCCUAUGUGUUGGGCUUCACACAUGUUACAAUGGCCUGUACAAAGGGCUACAAUACCGCGAGGGGGAGCGAAUCCCCCAAAGCCGGUCCCAGAUCGGAUUGAAGUCUGCAACUCGACCUCAUGAAGUCGGAGAAUCUAGUGAUCUCAGAUAAGAAAAGGUGGGGUGAAAAAGUUUCCCGGUUUUAACCACCCCCCCGUCCACUCAGGAGGUCGGUAACCCCUAAAGCCGGUGGCCUAACCCUUGUGGAGGGAGCCGCCCAAGGUGGGUAUUCGUAAUCUGGGUUUAUAAAAGAGGGG
Molecule: ribosomal RNA, 393 nt
Filed under: uncultured Oceanobacillus sp.
Lineage: Bacteria; Bacillati; Bacillota; Bacilli; Caryophanales; Bacillaceae
Description: partial 16S ribosomal RNA
Rfam family: Bacterial small subunit ribosomal RNA
Source: RNAcentral